CAUCAUGGAAUUACAUUUCGAACAUAUUUGCAAACACGACAAUAUAAAAACGAGUUGAAGCUUAGCCUGAAUUAUUAACACGAACUUACUCACGAUUAACACUCAAAAGUAAAAAAACAGUUCACAUACAUUUGUAACAUAAUGAUUAUUAGUCCAGAUAAUAUAAAAACAAUUUUUGUUCGUUAUUACAGACCAGUUUUAAUCCAGCUAGAUCAAAUUCAAAUGCAAAACUAACUAUCAUUAACAGACUACAUAUUUAAAUGCACAACUCAAAAGCUGGAUCAAAUUGCAUUUCAUGCUUCAACCACAAGUUCGCACUUCAUAUUUCAUCUCAUGCUAUCAAAGUCAAGCUGUGUACCUGGAAAACGAAAUACGAGGGAGAAAAUGAGAUUAAUAGCAGCAAUGCAACAGAGAUGAUUACAGGCAGGCCAAAAUAAGUCCAGGAGUUCAACUGUAUUUUGAAAAUCCACACAGAAGCAACAAAUCCAUUCAUAGCACCAAAUUGAACCAAACUGAACUCAACAAAAAACUCAAAUCCCAGAUUAAUCUACCAAAUCAACUCCAAACCAGCUUGAUUGAACCAAAACCAUUCGAUAAAACAACAGUAAAGCUUCAAAAGAACUUUUAGCAAACAGAAGAGCAACAGGACUGAAUGAUUUUGCCUAAAAUUCAAUGUAACAAUGCAUUUUUGAUUUUUUUUUCUCAAAGAUUUUUGUUUGUUUUCCUACUGUUUUUGGAUUUUUGAACUUUUGAAUUUCAAAAUCUAGAUCUAAAAAACUGGAGAGAAAAGGCUAUUGGAGAAGAUUGUUUUUUUUUUCUCUG
RNAcentral lists this long non-coding RNA (822 nucleotides) under Nicotiana benthamiana. RNAcentral describes it as "long non-coding RNA (NBEN_LNC036736)". Lineage: Eukaryota; Viridiplantae; Streptophyta; Magnoliopsida; Solanales; Solanaceae. The record is from RNAcentral.